GUAAUAAAAGUUAAUAUGAACAACUGCUUUAUUAUUCUAUAGUUCGGACAUACUAGAAAGUCGCUACAAGACCAAUCGUCAUAUUACUAGAACGAUUGUUUAUUUCGCUGCGCAAAAAUACGUUCCAUAUCUUGCUAGAAGACCGUAAUGGGAGUGAUUUGCCACUGUGGUUAUGAUCUUCAGCUUUCUUCUUUGAAUUGUAGGACAAAAUGCAGAUCGGUCAGUCGAGUUCACGGAAAGGUGUGUUUAUCGGGAAGACCUCGAUGGGAGUGAUGUCAGUAUGCCGAAAGUUGCGCAGCUGUGAUUAGUGAGGAGUAGGCCUACCGGAAGAACAUAAGAGAAAACACCGUAGUAGUAGCAGUGAGGCGGAUGAAACUGGAUUGCCUGCAAGCAUCUCUGAUGGAGGUCCACACGACAACUCCAUUCCCGGAACCUUCCGACUGCCGGAGAUACGAAGAGACACACAACAAUGCAACGGCUUCAGAACCCGAGCACAGUGGUGGAUGCCACGUGCCUGGUGAAGACAUUGCAGGGUGUCAGAGCAGUGCGUCGCCUGAAGCUCUGCUAUCUGUCACUUCUGCUUCACAAAAUACCAACAAUGUGCAUUCGCUGUCAGAUGUGACUGCUACUAAUUCGAAUUUGCAGCAGUUGGAAAUUGCAGUUUCUAAUGCAGCUGACAUCACAGCACGCAGUACAGACUCCUGGCGUGUGACCAUUGAUGACAUGCCUGAUGAGAUUUUGAUAAAGAUCUUGUCUCACAUGUCUUUCAGUGAGCUCAUAGAUGUUAUACAAAAAGUGUGUCCUCAUUGGAGAAGACUGUCCCAAGAUCCAGAGUUGUGGGAUUACAAGGAAUACCAAAUCCGGUACUGACCUUCCAGUGACACACACACUUGUAAAGGUGGCAGAACUGACCUGGAGGCGAUACAGACUUUCCGUGAUGCCCCAAACCGGCGCAAAGUAUGCACGUAUCGGGGAGCCACACCCCGUGUCUUCUGCACCCUAUACUACAACUGCCAGGGACUGUCCGAGCUGCGUCUGCAUGUUGCACAGAAGCUCACCUACUCGGUACUGAAGAACUUGGUUGAGAAGUGCUCCAGACUAUGCACACUGUGGAUACCCAGUGAAUUGCUGAAGUCGGAGAAAUUUUCAGAAGCAGUGUCUCGUCUACAGCACCUGCGUGUGCUGGCUCUAGAGACACUCUCCCCGGAACACACACCCGUGCUGCAACCUUUGGGUGACGGAUGCCCAUGACUAACCGAGGUAGACUUCAGAUGCACGAUUGUCGGUAUGGAUGAUCUGAGAUACUUCCUGAAUGCCAAGAGGAACACCCUUAAGUCCAUACGCAUAAAGUGGGCAAUGGAUGGAAAAUGGUGUGUCCUGCCAUUGCUGACAGCUUGGAACGUCUGCAGCUUUACAAUUUUGACAUAGUCCGUGACAAAUUGACAGAGGCAUUCAUUGCCCUGGGAAGCCUCAAGAAGUUAGAGGAACUUGAUAUGUCAAUCCUUGAUCCAGUACCACCUAGCACAGCUGCUCUGGCAUUUAAAUUUGGUGGACUGCCGAAUCUGAGACUGCUGGAUCUACGACAAGGGUACAGCCUGGACGAUGAUAUGAUAAUCGCCGUGAGCACUGGGUGCCCCGCUUUGCAGCAACUCAUUCUCAGAGAAGCUGAGCAACUGUCCGAUGCGGCUUUCUCUCAGAUCUACCGCCUGGAACAUCUAGAAAUGUUCAGCUUAAAAUCCAACAACAUGUAAUAUGCAAAAAAGCUUUCUGCAGCCUUUAUGGGAUAAAGAAGGCACGGGUUGAAUGUCUGGCUUCAUUUGCAUCCAGAAAUAUUGGUCCACCCGCAGAUCGUGGAGGAAAACAUGAAAACAGGCCUAACAGAACUGGACAUGCCAUGUUGCGCAGGGCUCAGUGGAGCCCUGAUGUCCUACCUUGCCAGGCUUCCACGACUUCACAAAUUGGUCAUGGAGGAAAUAGAGUUUCCCAAUUUGCAGCCAGGCCUGAGCAGUAUCCUCCAGUUGUCGGGUAUCCAAUGCCUGAUACUCAACUUUUCCAACAUUACAGGAGUGCCCUUUGAUAAGUUUCCAGGAAGGCUUGUCAGUCUCAGGGAGCUGAGAGUCCAGUGGUGUAGAGGUGACCCUAAUGUCACAAAUCUGCUGACUGAGCAGAUGCCUAGCCUUGAAAUCCACAGCAGCUUUGAAGAGGAGACACCAGCUUACAACACAGAGGGUGAGGAGAGUGACGCACAAGUCGCAGAGGAAGAAGAUGAAGAGAAUGCAGGGCCUGGCGAUGCAGAUGAAUCGCAGGAUGGCAGUUGGGAGAAUGACAAAGAUAGUAACGAUGAUAGCAGCAGUAGCAGUGAUAGUGAAAGUAAUAACAUUAUUUGGGAUGAAAGUAGUAUAUCUGUUCUCUUUUUAGAGGAUAUAUAAAAGUGGUGUGAUUUUUACACAGAAAUACAAAUCUCAGUACUGAUUGUAUUUCAUCUGGAGCAGUAUAACUGGAUCAAAUUAACUGCCAUUAUUGGAUUUAGCAUAGCAUCAUAAUGGACAGCUAAAUGCUGUCAGACUAAAACUAGUGGUCUUUGUAACAUUAUCAUUAAAUUGAAUUUCCUGUAAUGUCAUGUUAACAAUGGCGAAAAGUGUUUUAAAGUAAGAUAAUUAUAAAUUAUUCUAGAGAUGCAUAGCUGCCAACCUUGGGAAAAGACUGUCUGUUAUCACAUUGGGAAAAAUGAUGGAGUGGGGUACGGGGGUGGGGCAGAAAAUUUUAAACAUUGGAAGCACGAUUUAGGCCUUUAACUCUUUCACUGCUGCAUGCGCCAUAACAGUGCACGCAUCAGUGUGCAUUGCACUCGGGACGCUCAAUGCAGUGGUGCUUGCCGUGCUGGGAAUGAUGUGGCAUUGAGCACUGCAACACUUACUUGCUACACCAAGUUGUUGUCUUCUGUAUUUAUUCUCUCCAAUGUCUAAAUUGUUGCUUGAAUAUUAUGUAUUUUUGAAGUUCCUAGAAUUACAUUACAUUAGAGAAAAGUACAUUUCAGAAAGUUUUUUCGUAUGAUGUAUAGGGUGGGUGGGAAGUAACUAGGUACCAUUAAAUGGCUGUUAAGUUUGAAAUUUUAUGAAAUAAUAUUGGAAAUAACAUUAAAUAGGAUAGUGAUUUUUUAAUGCUGUGUAGUACCAACAGUGGCUGUGAGGGGCAAUAUACUUCACAACAACAAAGAUGGCCGAUUGCCCUACAGUUAGAGAAUGAACACAGAGCACUUUAUACUGUGAGGUGUGGAAUUUGACCAUUCUUGUGCAGAGAUGGUGGUGUAUGGUGAGGGGAAGGAAUGCCACAGUUUGCCUGGAGACAGUAAAGAAAUUGUCACGCAAAGCUAAUGACCACAGGUUCGGUGAGGGAUGCAACAAAAUCAGAUCGUCCAUCUACAUCUCAGUGUCCUGAGAAUGUGGCGAUUGUGCAGAAUGUGUUCAAUCGUAGCCUGGGGAAAUCGACAUGCCAGGUAGCUCGUGAGAGCAGACUUGCAAGGCAUGCGGUGUGUUAGGUGUGGCAUAAAGAAUUAAACUUUCAACCGUGGAAACUCCAUUAUGUGCAGCAGCUGACACCAGAAUGGAAUAGGGGGAGGUAGUGGCAGAAAAUUGCACUCAAUUUUCCUCAAUAUCACACUUCUUAAAGUGAUUGCUUGUAACUUUUGUUUAUUUUGAUUGGCAUUUUUCUCAGUGAAUGUGGAACUGUUGCUUCCCUGGUAGUGUGGCACCAUCUUAAUUGCUGCAGGUCUGUCAGUUAAAAGAAAAGGGAAAAAAGGCACAAUAUUGAGCCUCAUGUGUUUUGAGGGUGUAUACCGUAUUUACUCGAAUCUAAGCUGCACUGGAAUCUAAGCUGCACCUGAAAAAUGAGACUCGAAAUCAAGGAAAAAAAAUUUUCCAGAAUCUAAGCCGCACCUGAAAUUUGAGACUCGAAAUUCAAGGGAGAGAAAAGCUUUAGGCCGCACCUCCAAAUCGAAACAAAGUUGGUCCAUUGUAAUAUGAGACACAAUUUAGGUCGAAUGAAUGAUGAUACAGCUACAGUAGUUUGCUUCGAGUCGUGAGCUUAGCAGUUAAGCUUUACCAGGUAGCCAUUGCUAUGCGUCAGGCGCUCUGUCCG
This is a long non-coding RNA of Schistocerca serialis cubense, 4137 nucleotides long. RefSeq lists it as uncharacterized. Lineage: Eukaryota; Metazoa; Arthropoda; Insecta; Orthoptera; Acrididae. The record is from RefSeq and is a predicted model, not a curated record. The transcript has 9 exons.